CCUGGCUUCUCUUCUGGUUCCAGGGGCUCCUGGGAUCGCGCUCCUCCUUCUCCCCAGCCCUCACCAUCCGGCAGCCUCUUCUGCCUCUGUUCCGCCGCCCUCUGGCUUCACUAUGGAACCCCCUGCGGCCCCUGGCCCCCUAUCUCUCCCCUCUGGGGCCCCUCUAUCCCUCCUCGGCUCCCCAGUCGACACCUUCGCCCCGCCCUGCAGUUCUCUCCACUUCUCACAUUUCUCCUCCUGCCCCCUCUCUCUACCCUCCUCUGUCCCAUGACUAUGAAUUUCACAGAGAAGCCUGUUUAUUUAGGUGACACCAAGUGGGAGACACACGAAACCGUUUCCCUAGGCAGGCGGGGAGCAAAGGAAGAGGAGAAGGCAGGACAGAUCUCCAGCUCCCUAUCUUCUGUGGGACCCUUUGACCCCUCAGCUGUCACAACUGACCUUUUCCAACUUCUCCUACCAGAGGCCCCACCCCCCACCAUGAAGCCCCUUUCCAGCCUGGAAUGUGAACUCCCCUUUCCGUGCCCCAAAUGUGGGAAGCGCUUCAGCCAGGGGGCCCAGCCUGACCCUGUACCUACACUCCCACACAGGUGACAGGCCCUGCUCCUGCAGCCGGUGUGGCCACAGCUCCUACCUGCCCCAGCCCCCGACACACAUGCCCACCAGUGUAGCAAGGGCUUCUCCCCAGAGCUCUGGCCGGCUGCAGCACACCACUGUUCACACAGGCACAUGGCCCUACGUCUGUGUCACCUGUGGAUGGGGUUCAGGAGCCACCCAGCCUCGUCUAUCGUGAGAAGACUCACUUAGUGAGCACAGCUUCCCCUGCCCCGAGUGUGGCAAGCACUUCACCCAGAGUGUCCGCUGAGCCCAGCACCUACGGACGGAUGCUCACAGGGGAGAAGCCCUACCUGUGCGGCUAGUGUGGCCAUGGCUUCAGCCAGCACCCCUGGCUCGUGGCCCACCAGUGGGUCCACCACUUGGUUCCUCUGCUGUCCCUGCCGGCCCACACCUGCUAGGUGUGCUCUUCCCUCGGGUGCGGGCAGUAGCCUGCUGCCACACAGUGCAGCACAUGAGAAGCCCUUCUUCUGCCCCCAGUAUCCCGAGGGCUCUGGCUACUCCAACCUGCAACACCACCAGCAGGACCACGGGGGGAGCGGCCCCACCACUGUGACCAGUGCAGCAAGGGCUUCAGACAGAGCUCAGGGCUGUGUGGCACCAGGGAGUCCACAGGGGCAAGACUGCGAGUGCAGUUUCCGGUCCAGCUCCGGCCUGGCGCAGCACCUGCAGGGCCGCUCUGGGGACAGGCCCUUCUGCUCUGGCGGCUGUGGCUUCACUCAGAGUCCCCAUCGACCUUGACAACAGGCCAGGGCUGGUGAGGAGCACAGGGAUGAACAUGGAGGGGGGGGACAUCUGGAGGCCAAGUCAAGGCCCCUGUGGGGAGCCAGCCCCCCAACUCCACAGCACUCUAGGAGGGUAGAGGGGCAGUUGGAAUGACUGCCUCUUCUGUGGGAGGCAUAAUGGAGCACAGCUUCCACCACACCCCAGCCAGAGCAACUUUCAGAGCAACCACAUUGGGUGGCCAGAGUGUCUCUGCUGGACCUACUCAAAGCUGGAAUGGCCAGGUCCACCUCACUUCUAGUCCAACGUGCCAGUUCCCCAGAGAGCUCCCGGCCUGGGAAAGAGCUCUCCCUGUUUCUUAGAAAGGACUCUGUACUUCUGAUCUUCUGUCCUCCGUCUGAGACAUUUAACCAGGAUGUCUGGGUCCUGCUGCCUCAUGGAUGGAUCCGAUUCCCUGGGAUUUUUUUGAAGGGAUCAUUUCAAAGAGAUAACUGAAUCCCCAUAGAUCUCCAUGACAACGCCCACCAUCAAAUCCUAGUCCCCCACUAACCCCUCCAACCCUCUCAUUUCCCCCGAGGCUUCUGGAUGCUUCUUGCCUCUGGUGCUAAAGCUACACCCAGCACACCUGUCUGAUGCUGCCAUCUCCCUAUGCCUACUCCUGGCCUUGCUAGGCCCUGUUUCAGGACCCCAGGGCUUCCUAAAACCUUCAUUGCACUUCAGUCUAGGAAUAAAGCCCAGAUGGAGGCUGCUCUUUCCAGCUGUACAGAGGCCUCCUAUUGAAAGGUGCAAAAGGGCAGAGGCAGGUGUCCAAGGAGAGGGCAGGGAUGUGGAGGAGAUGGAGACCGGAGGAAAAGCCAAAGGAGUUUGGAGGAGAAAGUGGGAGGUUCUGGAAUGUGGAGAAAAGACAGCAGGGCUGUGUGAGACAAGACCCACAAGAAACAUCUCAGAAAAACUUAGAAACAAAUGUCUUCAGGUACGAACAUCCCCGGGGAACCACUCAUUUCUUCUUCAGUUGACAAGUUUCCCCCAGUGUUGUGAAGGCACUGAGUUGCCAACACAAGCACUUCAUGUCCUGCCAUUUGCACUUUUUCCACAAAAUUGCUUGCUAACUGUCUUCUUCGUGUGUUGGCAAACUGAUUUUGAACAAAGAGUCAGGAGGGAGUCCCACAGCAGAGUCCCUUCCAGACUGGUGCCCCUGGCCCAGCCUGGCACUGAGGAGAGCGCUGUCAUCAUUCACCCUUUUAGAAGGUUCUGCUGGGGGAGUCACUCCCUGGCAACACUCACAGCAAGUUUAUGGUUACUGUUCAUGUUAAAGGAUAAGGUAGACCUCAGCUCUUGUAUUAACUUCCCCCAAAGUAUACUCUUUAGAACUGGGCAGAGUCCUCCCUAGGAGGUAUCAGAGGCUGAUUACUGACACACACACGAAGGAAUUAAAGAACUGGAGGGAUAAAAGGGUCACUGAGAGACUGCUAAUCAGUUUCACCCUUUCAGGAAAUAUGUAUUGAGUCCACCACGUGUCAGGGACUGUUCUGGGACCUGGGUAUUACAAACAGGCAUAUGAUGCAGCCCCCGCCUUCCACCGAUUUGAUCUAGGCGUGUUCAGCAUCUCAAUAUUGAACCCAGCAUCUAGUCCUAUCAAUUGUAUCCACUAUACUCUCUCAAGUAUGUCGUCUCUUUCCCACCCCUCCACCUCCCUUGUCCAGCUACCACCUGGACCAUCUGGUUCUCCUCUGAAUCAUCGUGAUGGCUGGAGAGGCUGGGAAUGGCGUUCUCUGUGAGCAGCACACCUGAGUAACAGAGGCCUCUUUGAAAUGUAAAUCUGAUUGUUUCAGGCACCCUGCUGAAGCCCAUUCAAUGGUUUCCCAUUGAUCUCAGGUUAAAGACCCCAGUCCUUAACCUGGCCUUUAAAGCUCUGCGAGGUGUGGCCGUGUCGGCCUCUCCAGCCUCAUCUCCCACCACUCACUCCUCUCUCCCUCGCGCAGAGCGCUCCACUUCCUGUCGGUGUCCCGCUUCCUCCCGCAGAGAGCGGCGGCCAGGCUGGGCCCUCCUCCUGAGAGGUGCUUUCUUCCAUUUCUCUCUUAGCUCCUCAUUCUUCGGAUCUCAGCUCCUUUACCACAUCCUUAGGGAAGGUACCCUAUCCUUUCCUUCAGGGUCCAAUUCCCUCCUCUGGGCUCCCACACCAAGGUGCACCUUUCUUGGAGGCACUUGGCACAGUUCAGUUCCAUAUUUGUUGGUGAUUAUUUGAUUGAUGUCUGUCUCCCCACAGACUGUAAGCUCCCUGAGGGUGGGCACCACGACUGCAGAGGCUCACUCUUGCUAUUCCCUGGAAACUCCAUAAAUAUUGAAAUAUUGGUUGAAUGGGUGCACAUGCGCCAGGAUCUGCGGCAGAGGCUAGAUAUUUCAGGAUUUCAGAGAGGGUGGAUUGAGGCCGUAAUUUCCCUCCAGCGGCUGCCGCCCAAGAGUCCCAUAUGCCAUUUCCUUAGCACCAUUCCUUUCUCCAUGUUUCCUGGUGUCAUCCAUCUUCCCAGCUCCACCUCUCCGGCACCCUCCUCACCUCCACCUUGCCUAGGAGAACCUUUCUCCCUUUAGUUUUUUAGUGCCCCUUCCUGGUCUUGGCUCCUUGGCUUCAGAAGCCAGCAUGGAAUAAUGAGGCAAUAGCACAGGAUUCAGAAACAAAAUAUCUGGAUUCAAUAACAAGGUUAAAAGUAUUAGCGGUGUGACCUUCAGCAGGCUAUUAAACCACUCGGAACCCUAGCUUACAUAAAAUGGGAACAACUUCGAAAUCAAGCAAGUUGGAGGAAUUAGAAAAUCUAAAAGCACCGUCAUCUAGAAAUACUGGAUAAAAUAUGAAAAAAAUUAAACAUAUGACUGAAUUCUCAAAAGGAAAGUAAAAUUCCAGGUGCCAGAAACAAAGAGGAAACUGAAAGCUGGAGGCUGAGCUGACUGUGGCCACGGUGACCAGAAGGCGGCUGGAGGGAAUGGGUUCUGUUAACUCAGGGCUUGAGUGCUUCCAGCCACCCGGGGACAGGAGACGAGGUCUUGGUCCUGAAGAGGUGGGGAAAUUAGAUGAAAGGAGCCAAAGCUGACUCAAGAAGAAAUUAAAAACCUGAACAGAUCUAUAAAUUCUAAUAAAUUAAAUGAGAAGCUAAAAAUGUACACGCACACAGCACCUAGAUGGUUCCUAGGUAUAUUAUUCUGCCAACUCUUAAAGGAACUAUUUAUUUAUUUAUUUAAACUACACCAGAUAACGGUAAAAGAGGAAAAUCUCACUUAUAAGACUAAAAGUCCUAAAUAAAAUAGUAGCAAACUGAAUCCAGUAAAGUUUGUGCAAGUGUGUGUAUAUAUGUAGGUAAGUGUGUGUGUGUGU
This 4702-nucleotide long non-coding RNA is filed under the name Equus caballus (horse). Its description in RNAcentral is "lncRNA (ENSECAG00000056882.1)". Lineage: Eukaryota; Metazoa; Chordata; Mammalia; Perissodactyla; Equidae. The record is from RNAcentral.